UGAAUACAAGAUGCUACGGCAUCGAAGCAGUCUAUGUCAGACUUCCAAGAAAAGCUUGCACUGUCAAAAACAAAGAAUGCCUGUACCAUAACCGACACAGGUGGGUAGGUAGAGUAUACUAAGGGGCGCGAGAUAACUCUCUCUAAGGAACUCGGCAAAAUGACUCCGUAACUUCGGGAGAAGGAGUGCCUUAUUUUUAAGGUUGCAAUAACAAGACCCAAGCAACUGUUUACCAAAAACACAGGUCUCCGCGAAGUCGUAAGACGAUGUAUGGGGGCUGACGCCUGCCCAGUGCCAGAAGGUUAAAGAAGUCGGUUAGAUCAGCUUUGCUGAUCGAAGCUGGUAACUGAAGCCCUGGUGAACGGCGGCCGUAACAAUAACGGUCCUAAGGUAGCGAAAUUCCUUGUCGGGUAAGUUCCGACCCGCACGUAAGGCGUAAUGAUUUGGGUACUGUCUCGGAGAGGGGCUCGGUGAAAUAGACUUGUCUGUGAAGAUGCGGACUACCUGCACCUGGACAGAAAGACCCUAUGAAGCUUUACUGUAACUUGAAAUUGAAAUUGGACUUUAUUUGCGCAGUAUAGGUGGGAGGCAUUGAGACUAGUCUUGCGGGAUUAGUGGAGCCAUCAGUGAGAUACCACUCUUGUAAUGUUAGAUUUCUAACUUUGUAUCAUUCUCUGGUCAAAGAACAGUUUCAGGCGGGCAGUUUGACUGGGGCGAUCGCCUCCCAAAGGGUAACGGAGGCGCACAAAGGUUUCCUCUGAACGGGUAGAAAUCGUAUCUAGAGUGUAAAGGCAUAAGGAAGCUUGACUGUGAGACCUACAAGUCGAGCAGGGACGAAAGUCGGUCUUAGUGAUCUGACGGUGCUGAGUGGAAAGGCCGUCACUCAACGGAUAAAAGUUACUCUAAGGAUAACAGGCUGAUCUCCCCCAAGAGUUCACAUCGACGGGGAGGUUUGGCACCUCGAUGUCGGCUCAUCGCAUCCUGGGGCGGUAGUACGUCCCAAGGGUUGGGCUGUUCGCCCAUGAAAGCGGUACGCGAGCUGGGUUCAGAACGUCGUGAGACAGUUCGGUCCAUAUCCGGUGUAGGCGUUAGAAUAUUGAGAGGAGCCUUCUCUAGUACGAGAGGACCGAGAAGGACAUACCUCUGGUGUACCAGUUAUCGUGCCAACGGUAAACGCUGGGUAGCUAUGUAUGGAGUGGAUAACCGCUGAAAGCAUCUAAGUGGGAAGCCCACCUCAAGAUAAGUAUUCUCAUGGCAUAAGCCAGUAAGGUCACGGGAAGAUUACCCGUUGAUAGGCUCUACGUGGAAGCGCAGUAAUGUGUGAAGCGGAGGGGUACUAAUAGACCGAGGGCUUGAC
This 1357-nucleotide ribosomal RNA is filed under the name metagenome. Its description in RNAcentral is "bacterial LSU rRNA". It matches the Rfam family "Bacterial large subunit ribosomal RNA", at positions 1564 to 2925 of the family's 2925-position model. The record is from RNAcentral.